This 346-nucleotide ribosomal RNA is filed under the name Trinoton querquedulae (large duck louse). RNAcentral describes it as "partial 12S ribosomal RNA". The record is from RNAcentral. Lineage: Eukaryota; Metazoa; Arthropoda; Insecta; Psocodea; Menoponidae.
UACUCGAGGUAAUACAGUUUAAGGAGAGCUAAUGACAAUUAGUAAACAAUUAAGUAUGGCAGUAAAAAGGUAUAAUCAGAGAGGUAUGUUAUUUAAUCUGACGGCGCACAGAACACCUAACUUAAGCUCAUUUUCCAUACCGCCGUCUAAAGAGUGUGCUUUCUAGCACACCCUCUUAAUAGAUACGUGUCUAAGAAGUCAGGUAGACGUGGAGAGCAUGCUUAAGGAUGUUAUGUAUCUCACUUCUAAAAAGAAAUUGCAAAGCAAUUUUGGCAGAGAAUUGCUGAGUUGAAUUUGAUAGUACUGUGUUUUCAUAAGCAGCUUAGGAAAACUGUCCUUUUGUGUA